Molecule: microRNA precursor, 85 nt
Filed under: Chlorocebus sabaeus (green monkey)
Lineage: Eukaryota; Metazoa; Chordata; Mammalia; Primates; Cercopithecidae
Description: mir-4436 microRNA precursor family
Rfam family: mir-4436 microRNA precursor family
Source: Rfam by way of RNAcentral
UCCUCACUUGUCCACUUCUGCCUGCCCUGCCCAAAUUGUGGAGCAGAUUCGAGGGGCAGGGCAGGCAGAAGUGGAAAAGUGAAGC